Molecule: unclassified non-coding RNA, 322 nt
Filed under: uncultured fungus
Lineage: Eukaryota; Fungi
Description: partial contains small subunit ribosomal RNA, internal transcribed spacer 1, and 5.8S ribosomal RNA
Rfam family: Eukaryotic small subunit ribosomal RNA (bases 1-73)
Source: RNAcentral
GCAAACUUGGUCAUUUAGAGGAAGUAAAAGUCGUAACAAGGUUUCCGUAGGUGAACCUGCGGAAGGAUCAUUAACAAUUAUCCAUUAUGGAUAAUUUUAUCCAUAUCCACCUUGUGUGAAUCAUAGAAGUGUUUGUUGGCAGGUUUAAGCAGUCUUUGUUAAAGAUGGCUGUGGGUUGGAGCUGAGAUUGUCAGUUGCCACUCGGCCUGCCAAUUUUAUGUUUAAAACACGUCUAAACAUUAACCGUCUGAAAUAAAUAUUUUUAAUAAAUACAACUUUCAACAACGGAUCUCUUGGCUCUCGCAUCGAUGAAGAACGCAGC